ACUAAGCGUACACGGUGGAUGCCCUGGCAGUCAGAGGCGAUGAAGGGCGUGCUAAUCUGCGAUAAGCGCCGGUAAGGUGAUAUGAACCGUUAUAACCGGCGAUACCCGAAUGGGGAAACCCAGUGUGAUUCGUCACACUAUCAUUAACUGAAUCCAUAGGUUAAUGAGGCGAACCGGGGGAACUGAAACAUCUAAGUACCCCGAGGAAAAGAAAUCAACCGAGAUUCCCCCAGUAGCGGCGAGCGAACGGGGAGGAGCCCAGAGCCUGAAUCAGCAUGUGUGUUAGUGGAAGCGUCUGGAAAGACGCGCGAUACAGGGUGACAGCCCCGUACACAAAAGCGCAUGUGCUGUGAGCUCGAUGAGUAGGGCGGGACACGUGGUAUCCUGUCUGAAUAUGGGGGGACCAUCCUCCAAGGCUAAAUACUCCUGACUGACCGAUAGUGAACCAGUACCGUGAGGGAAAGGCGAAAAGAACCCCGGCGAGGGGAGUGAAAAAGAACCUGAAACCGUGUACGUACAAGCAGUGGGAGCCCCACCACUAAGCCAGUGGUGAACUCCACAUACGCAUCCUUUGCUGAAGGCAAUGGUUAACGGAGCGAAAGCGACGUUCAACCUCAAAAGAAGCAGAGGGGGCUUAGUGGUGGGGUGACUGCGUACCUUUUGUAUAAUGGGUCAGCGACUUAUAUUCUGUAGCAAGGUUAACCGUAUAGGGGAGCCGUAGGGAAACCGAGUCUUAACCGGGCGUUAAGUUGCAGGGUAUAGACCCGAAACCCGGUGAUCUAGCCAUGGGCAGGUUGAAGGUUGGGUAACACUAACUGGAGGACCGAACCGACUAAUGUUGAAAAAUUAGCGGAUGACCUGUGGCUGGGGGUGAAAGGCCAAUCAAACCGGGAGAUAGCUGGUUCUCCCCGAAAGCUAUUUAGGUAGCGCCUCGUGAAUUCAUCUCCGGGGGUAGAGCACUGUUUCGGCUAGGGGGCCAUCCCGGCUUACCAACCCGAUGCAAACUGCGAAUACCGGAGAAUGUUAUCACGGGAGACACACGGCGGGUGCUAACGUCCGUCGUGAAGAGGGAAACAACCCAGACCGCCAGCUAAGGUCCCAAAGUCAUGGUUAAGUGGGAAACGAUGUGGGAAGGCCCAGACAGCCAGGAUGUUGGCUUAGAAGCAGCCAUCAUUUAAAGAAAGCGUAAUAGCUCACUGGUCGAGUCGGCCUGCGCGGAAGAUGUAACGGGGCUAAACCAUGCACCGAAGCUGCGGCAGCGACACUCAGGUGUUGUUGGGUAGGGGAGCGUUCUGUAAGCCUGUGAAGGUGUGUCGUGAGGCAUGCUGGAGGUAUCAGAAGUGCGAAUGCUGACAUAAGUAACGAUAAAGCGGGUGAAAAGCCCGCUCGCCGGAAGACCAAGGGUUCCUGUCCAACGUUAAUCGGGGCAGGGUGAGUCGACCCCUAAGGCGAGGCCGAAAGGCGUAGUCGAUGGGAAACGGGUUAAUAUUCCCGUACUUGGUGUUACUGCGAAGGGGGGACGGAGAAGGCUAUGUUGGCCGGGCGACGGUUGUCCCGGUUUAAGCGUGUAGGCUGGUUUUCCAGGCAAAUCCGGAAAAUCAAGGCUGAGGCGUGACGACGAGGCACUACGGUGCUGAAGCAACAAAUGCCCUGCUUCCAGGAAAAGCCUCUAAGCAUCAGGUAACAUCAAAUCGUACCCCAAACCGACACAGGUGGUCAGGUAGAGAAUACCAAGGCGCUUGAGAGAACUCGGGUGAAGGAACUAGGCAAAAUGGUGCCGUAACUUCGGGAGAAGGCACGCUGACACGUAGGUGAAGUGAUUUACUCAUGGAGCUGAAGUCAGUCGAAGAUACCAGCUGGCUGCAACUGUUUAUUAAAAACACAGCACUGUGCAAACACGAAAGUGGACGUAUACGGUGUGACGCCUGCCCGGUGCCGGAAGGUUAAUUGAUGGGGUCAGCGCAAGCGAAGCUCCUGAUCGAAGCCCCGGUAAACGGCGGCCGUAACUAUAACGGUCCUAAGGUAGCGAAAUUCCUUGUCGGGUAAGUUCCGACCUGCACGAAUGGCGUAAUGAUGGCCAGGCUGUCUCCACCCGAGACUCAGUGAAAUUGAACUCGCUGUGAAGAUGCAGUGUACCCGCGGCAAGACGGAAAGACCCCGUGAACCUUUACUAUAGCUUGACACUGAACAUUGAGCCUUGAUGUGUAGGAUAGGUGGGAGGCUUUGAAGUGUGGACGCCAGUCUGCAUGGAGCCGACCUUGAAAUACCACCCUUUAAUGUUUGAUGUUCUAACGUGGACCCGUAAUCCGGGUUGCGGACAGUGUCUGGUGGGUAGUUUGACUGGGGCGGUCUCCUCCUAAAGAGUAACGGAGGAGCACGAAGGUUGGCUAAUCCUGGUCGGACAUCAGGAGGUUAGUGCAAUGGCAUAAGCCAGCUUGACUGCGAGCGUGACGGCGCGAGCAGGUGCGAAAGCAGGUCAUAGUGAUCCGGUGGUUCUGAAUGGAAGGGCCAUCGCUCAACGGAUAAAAGGUACUCCGGGGAUAACAGGCUGAUACCGCCCAAGAGUUCAUAUCGACGGCGGUGUUUGGCACCUCGAUGUCGGCUCAUCACAUCCUGGGGCUGAAGUAGGUCCCAAGGGUAUGGCUGUUCGCCAUUUAAAGUGGUACGCGAGCUGGGUUUAGAACGUCGUGAGACAGUUCGGUCCCUAUCUGCCGUGGGCGCUGGAGAACUGAGGGGGGCUGCUCCUAGUACGAGAGGACCGGAGUGGACGCAUCACUGGUGUUCGGGUUGUCAUGCCAAUGGCACUGCCCGGUAGCUAAAUGCGGAAGAGAUAAGUGCUGAAAGCAUCUAAGCACGAAACUUGCCCCGAGAUGAGUUCUCCCUGAGACUUAGAGUCUCCUGAAGGAACGUUGAAGACGACGACGUUGAUAGGCCGGGUGUGUAAGCGCAGCGAUGCGUUGAGCUAACCGGUACUAAUGAACCGUGAGGCUUAACC
Molecule: ribosomal RNA, 2995 nt
Filed under: Salmonella enterica subsp. enterica serovar Hiduddify
Lineage: Bacteria; Pseudomonadati; Pseudomonadota; Gammaproteobacteria; Enterobacterales; Enterobacteriaceae
Description: bacterial LSU rRNA
Rfam family: Bacterial large subunit ribosomal RNA
Source: RNAcentral